Molecule: ribosomal RNA, 119 nt
Filed under: Pteropus alecto (black flying fox)
Lineage: Eukaryota; Metazoa; Chordata; Mammalia; Chiroptera; Pteropodidae
Source: RNAcentral
GUCUAUGGCCAUCCUACCCUGAACAAGCCUGAUCCUGUCUGAUCUCGGAAGCUAAGCAGAGUCGGGCCUGCUUAAUAUUUGGAUGGGAGACCACCUAAGAAGACCAGGUACUGUAGGCA